This 253-nucleotide ribosomal RNA is filed under the name uncultured bacterium. RNAcentral's name for it is "partial 16S ribosomal RNA". It matches the Rfam family "Bacterial small subunit ribosomal RNA", at positions 524 to 776 of the family's 1533-position model. The record is from RNAcentral.
UACAGAGGUCUCAAGCGUUGUUCGGAUUCAUUGGGCGUAAAGGGAGCGUAGGUGGCGGGGUAAGUCGGAUGUGAAAUCCCGGGGCUCAACCCCGGAACUGCAUUCGAUACUGCCUUGCUCGAGUACUGGAGAGGAGAUCGGAAUUUACGGUGUAGCAGUGAAAUGCGUAGAUAUCGUAAGGAAGACCAGUGGCGAAGGCGGAUCUCUGGACAGUUACUGACACUGAGGCUCGAAGGCCAGGGGAGCAAACGGG